UCUGACAACCUUGAGCAAUAGCAUUGAGAUGUAUCAUAAUCACUUAUAUAUACAUUAUAAUUAGGAGACAAAAUAAAAGUCAGAAAUCAUGGAGAGAAAAAUGCUUUUCAGCUUAUUCUUCUAUCUUAUUAUUGUCUUUGCUACUCAAGAAUCAGUGAUGCAGAUUGAGGCAUCUGAGGUAAGAUGUUUUACGUUUGAAGGUCCAUGCAGACACGAUAAUGGAGCAGAUCGUGCUGUUUGUGAAAUUCGCUGCCGUAUGAUGAAUAAAAUUAUAUCUGGUGGUUCCUGCGUAAAUGAUAAAUGCAUUUGUAGUAUCUAACAUAUCCAAGAUAUAGUUAUACUAUAUUAUUUCGUUUCUAUUUUAUAUAUAGGGCUAAUCCCUAUUUUGCUUCCUGCUAUAAUUUGGUUCAUGUGUAUCUGGUUCAAUGUCCAAGAAAUAAAUUCUAAUUUGAUUAUUUUCCAA
This is a long non-coding RNA of Trifolium pratense (red clover), 463 nucleotides long. RefSeq lists it as uncharacterized. The record is from RefSeq and is a predicted model, not a curated record. The transcript has 2 exons. Lineage: Eukaryota; Viridiplantae; Streptophyta; Magnoliopsida; Fabales; Fabaceae.